CGCGCCGAAACGGGCCGAAAUCGGCCGACACGUGGAAUCAUAAUCCUUGUGUCGGGGGUUCAAAUCCCUCCCUCGCUACCA
Molecule: transfer RNA, 81 nt
Filed under: Methylorubrum rhodinum
Lineage: Bacteria; Pseudomonadati; Pseudomonadota; Alphaproteobacteria; Hyphomicrobiales; Methylobacteriaceae
Description: tRNA-Met
Source: RNAcentral